GCUGGAAUCCCUUUGGGGCCACUGUAGAACUUUCUGGGGCUCAGCCUGAUGGGUAUCCACAUGCCCCUGAUAUUUUGGAUGCCCUCACCCAGGGGAUUCCUGCACUCCUGAAGCUUUAAGCUUUCAUCUCUCCCGCCCCCAUUAAUGCCGCCGUCUUCAUCCGCGCAGGUGAAGGAGGGAAAGAUUUUUGAUGAUGUGUCCAGUGGGGUCUCUCAGUUGGCGUCCAAGGUAGGGAGCCUGCCAGAUACGCGGGCACAGUCGAAGCCAGUCUCCAUAUUCCACGGCCCUGGGCGUGAGAGCAGGGUGUGCCCCGUGCAGCCCUCAGCCCAGCUCGGCAGUGGCCGCUGUCCUCUGAGACGGGAGGAGAGCUGCCCAGCCUGACGGCCCGAGGGAUAUGGAAACAGCUUGGCCCACUGCGGCCCGGUCAGCCACUAACUGUCACUUCUCCCUCUGCUCUUAUCUUGCUGCUGCUGGCCUUUUCUUCGGUCCAGGGAGUCGGUAGUAAGGGAUGGCGGGAUGUCACCACCUUUUUUUCGGGGAAAGCAGAGGGCCCCUUGGACAGCCCCUCGGAGGGCCACAGUUAUCAGAACAGCGGUCCAGACCACUUCCAAAACAGCACCAUAGACCAGAGCUUCUGGGAGACCUUUGGAAGUGCUGAGCCCACCAAGGCCCGCAAGUCCCCGAGCAGCGACAGCUGGACGUGCGCGGACACCUCCACCGAGAGGAGGAGCUCGGACAGCUGGGAGGUGUGGGGCUCGGCCUCCACCAACAGGAACAGCAACAGCGACGGCGGGGAGGGUGGGGAGGGCACCAAGAAGGCAGUGCCGCCUGCCGUGCCCACUGAUGAUGGCUGGGAUAACCAGAACUGGUAGGGCCCACUGCGCCCCUGUCCCCAGCGCCCCCGGGCGACUUCGUGUUUGCACUCUGCCCUCGUCGUUCCUCCUUCCAUUUGACCCAAGAAUCAGCAACUGCAGUGUGAGGACAGCGUCUCCGGAGGCAGGACCCUAGGGAGACUCGGGUUUGUGCCGCCUGCGCGUGGGGAGUCUCGGUGCGUGGGGGCGGCUUGCUGGCCAGCCUGUGCGGGGGCCGUCCCGUCCCACGCUCCCCCAGGCAUUCUUGGACUCAAGGCAGGGGCUCUGCAUGGCUUGCUGGGAGGUGGGCUGCAGCACAGAGCCCUGUGACUGCGUUCCAGCGGCCAGUUCACUACGCGGUAUCUCUGGGGCCUGGGACCAGCCACGUG
RNAcentral lists this small RNA (1240 nucleotides) under Pongo abelii (Sumatran orangutan). RNAcentral describes it as "processed transcript". Lineage: Eukaryota; Metazoa; Chordata; Mammalia; Primates; Hominidae. The record is from RNAcentral.